Molecule: long non-coding RNA, 284 nt
Filed under: Sorghum bicolor (sorghum)
Lineage: Eukaryota; Viridiplantae; Streptophyta; Magnoliopsida; Poales; Poaceae
Description: long non-coding RNA (SBIC_LNC007222)
Source: RNAcentral
UUAAGGUUGAGUACCACUAGCAAAGAAAAACUGGGAUUCUUCGCAGGUAUGAUCACAACAGCAUGUUUGCUACAAUUCACUCUUUUGUUUUCAACAAUGGAUACCAUCAUGUCACGAUUUCCAUUCAUAACUAAACAAAUUGGUAAACAAAUUGGUUGAAUUGAAUGCUAUCGAAACAUGGUGUCCAAUGUCCCAAUGCUGACACAUGGUGUCCAAUGUCCCAAUGCUGAAUUGCAAUAGUCAGUACCUCCUACAUGCGCGUGCAGGAGGUGUCGAAGUCGUCG